ACUGGGUCAGAGAUGAAGCCAACAUAGCUCUGUGUCUCACCCAAGGCCUGCUGUAACCACUCCCUGGUACUGCCUGUGUUCACUCAAGGUCCCGGGGCUCUACAAUCAGCAAGACAGCAUUGAAUUCAGAGCCUCACAAUUGCUGUGUUCUACUUCGCCUAGCAACCAGAGAUGAUCCCUGCAACAUGCUGCUGUUGCUGGGAGUGGGAAAGAGGUGGCAUCGGCGGUUCAAGACUGAGUUUUCUAUCUCUUCAGUGCCUCUUUCAACAAUGAAGAUCAAACCAGGUUUUGUGCAAAUAUCUGCUGAGUGAACUACUUAUUUGAAAAUACAUCAUUGGUUAAUAUUCCCUUUUGCUCAUUGAAAUCUCAAAGACUACAGACCCCGCACAAGACAUUCUGACAUUCCCGUCUUUGAAAUGAAUGACAGCAAUGAUAAAUAUGGCUCACCUCCAGAGAUACAGAUCUCACAACUUCAUAUUUUUAAUAUAAAUUAUUAAUCUGAGGUGUGGUGCAAUUCCAUUAGAUGAAAGAGAUCUACACAUUCAGAAGCACAUGAUUCUUCCCCCUUCCAUGAUUCCAGUGGCCAAUAGACAAACUACAAUAAAGCCAUGCCCUGACUGGAUGUGCCUAACAUUUGUCUGGUGCUUAAAGGAGUUGGCUGCAUGCGUGGGAUGGAGAAGGAUUCAACAUUUAAUGGCAGUUAGAAUCAAAUUUUUAACUCAAGAAGGCAGAAGGAAUCCACCUAAAUAAAUGUUGGAAAGUCACCAAAAAUAGUUCUCCAAGUCAGAAGCGGUGCAAAAGCUGCCUCAGCUCUUGGUGGAUUUUCAAUUUCUCCCAGCCAUCUCUGUUUCGCUAAAGGUUUCUGAAGACAGUGGGUAUGUGGCAAACUUCUGCAAUUCUAUAUUAAGAUAAACUGUUAGAUC
Molecule: long non-coding RNA, 923 nt
Filed under: Homo sapiens (human)
Lineage: Eukaryota; Metazoa; Chordata; Mammalia; Primates; Hominidae
Description: long intergenic non-protein coding RNA 1192
Source: RNAcentral